GCGCUCAUCUGGCAGAGGCGAUGCCAUGAUCACGUAGGUGGGUUUCCCAGGGGAAGGCUUAUCCAUUGUACUCCAGGUGUGCUGACCUCUGCCAUUUCCCCAAAUGCGGAAAACUCGACUGCAUAAUUUGUGGUAGUGGGGGACUGCGCUCAUUAUUUUCUA
Molecule: small nuclear RNA, 162 nt
Organism: Tachyglossus aculeatus (Australian echidna)
Lineage: Eukaryota; Metazoa; Chordata; Mammalia; Monotremata; Tachyglossidae
Product: U1 spliceosomal RNA
Exons: 1
Source: RefSeq, a predicted model, not a curated record